Molecule: ribosomal RNA, 497 nt
Filed under: uncultured bacterium
Lineage: Bacteria
Description: partial 16S ribosomal RNA
Rfam family: Bacterial small subunit ribosomal RNA
Source: RNAcentral
GACGAACGCUGGCGGCGUGCCUAAUACAUGCAAGUUGAGCGCUGAAGGUUGGUACUUGUACCAACUGGAUGAGCAGCGAACGGGUGAGUAACGCGUGGGGAAUCUGCCUUUGAGCGGGGGACAACAUUUGGAAACGAAUGCUAAUACCGCAUAAAAACUUUAAACACAAGUUUUAAGAUUGAAAGAUGCAAUUGCAUCACUCAAAGAUGAUCCCGCGUUGUAUUAGCUAGUUGGUGAGGUAAAGGCUCACCAAGGCGAUGAUACAUAGCCGACCUGAGAGGGUGCUCGGCCACAUUGGGACUGAGACACGGCCCAAACUCCUACGGGAGGCAGCAGUAGGGAAUCUUCGGCAAUGGACGAAAGUCUGAACGAGCCACGCCGCGUGCGUGAAGAAGGUUUUCGGUUCGUAAAACUCUGUUGGUAGAGAAGAACGUUGGUGAGAGUGGAAAGCUCAUCAAGUGACGGUAACUACCCAGAAAGGGACGGCUAACUACGUG